RNAcentral lists this ribosomal RNA (253 nucleotides) under uncultured bacterium. RNAcentral's name for it is "partial 16S ribosomal RNA". It matches the Rfam family "Bacterial small subunit ribosomal RNA", at positions 524 to 776 of the family's 1533-position model. The record is from RNAcentral.
UACGUAGGGUGCAAGCGUUGUCCGGAAUUAUUGGGCGUAAAGAGCUCGUAGGCGGUCUGUCGCGUCUGCUGUGAAAACUCAGGGCUUAACCCUGAGCUUGCAGUGGGUACGGGCAGACUAGAGUGCGGUAGGGGAGACUGGAAUUCCUGGUGUAGCGGUGAAAUGCGCAGAUAUCUGGAGGAACACCGGUGGCGAAGGCGGCAUCCUGGACCGACACUGACGCUGAGGCGCGAAAGCUAGGGUAGCAAACGGG